This 482-nucleotide ribosomal RNA is filed under the name uncultured bacterium. RNAcentral's name for it is "partial 16S ribosomal RNA". It matches the Rfam family "Bacterial small subunit ribosomal RNA", at positions 30 to 507 of the family's 1533-position model. The record is from RNAcentral.
AUUGAACGCUGGCGGCAUGCCUUACACAUGCAAGUCGAACGGUAACGGGCCUUCGGGUGCCGACGAGUGGCGAACGGGUGAGUAAUACAUCGGAACGUGCCCGAUCGUGGGGGAUAACGAGGCGAAAGCUUUGCUAAUACCGCAUACGAUCUACGGAUGAAAGCAGGGGACCGCAAGGCCUUGCGCGGACGGAGCGGCCGAUGGCGGAUUAGGUAGUUGGUGGGAUAAAAGCUUACCAAGCCGACGAUCUGUAGCUGGUCUGAGAGGAUGAUCAGCCACACUGGGACUGAGACACGGCCCAGACUCCUAAGGGAGGCAGCAGUGGGGAAUUUUGGACAAUGGGCGCAAGCCUGAUCCAGCCAUGCCGCGUGCAGGAUGAAGGCCUUCGGGUUGUAAACUGCUUUUGUACGGAACGAAAAGCCUUCUUUUAAUACAGGAGGGUCAUGACGGUACCGUAAGAAUAAGCACCGGCUAACUACGUG